This 410-nucleotide ribosomal RNA is filed under the name uncultured bacterium. RNAcentral describes it as "bacterial SSU rRNA". It matches the Rfam family "Bacterial small subunit ribosomal RNA", at positions 29 to 426 of the family's 1533-position model. The record is from RNAcentral.
AACGAACGCUGGCGGCGUGCCUAACACAUGCAAGUCGAGCGCGAAUGGAGCAAUCCUAGUAGCGCGGCGCACGGGUGCGUAACACGUGGGUAAUCUGCCUGGGAGACCGGAAUAACCUGCCGAAAGGCUGGCUAAUACCGGAUAAGCCCACGGACUCUUCGGAGUCUGAGGGAAAAGGUGGCCUCUGUAUACAAGCUAUCACUUCCAGAUGAGCCCGCGGCCCANCAGCUCGUUGGCGGGGUAAAGGCCCACCAAGGCAACGACGGGUAGCUGGUCUGAGAGGACGAUCAGCCACACUGGAACUGAGACACGGUCCAGACUCCUACGGGAGGCAGCAGUGGGGAAUUUUGCACAAUGGGCGAAAGCCUGAUGCAGCAACGCCGCGUGUGUGAUGAAGGUCUUCGGAUCGU